UAUGGCAGACUAGUGCACUGGGCUUAAACCCCUUUUAUAAAGAAAUUUAUCUUUUAUUAAAA
Molecule: transfer RNA, 62 nt
Filed under: Temnothorax striatulus
Lineage: Eukaryota; Metazoa; Arthropoda; Insecta; Hymenoptera; Formicidae
Description: tRNA-Leu
Source: RNAcentral